AUGUGUGUGAGCGUGUCUGUAUAAAAGAUCCAAGGACAGAGGUGUAGGAAGAUAGUUAGCUUCAAACAAUCAGUAGUAAAUAUAAAAAACAGUU
Long non-coding RNA from Octopus sinensis (East Asian common octopus), 94 nucleotides. RefSeq lists it as uncharacterized. Lineage: Eukaryota; Metazoa; Mollusca; Cephalopoda; Octopoda; Octopodidae. The transcript is spliced from 3 exons. The record is from RefSeq and is a predicted model, not a curated record.